RNAcentral lists this ribosomal RNA (860 nucleotides) under uncultured crenarchaeote. RNAcentral's name for it is "bacterial SSU rRNA". It matches the Rfam family "Archaeal small subunit ribosomal RNA", at positions 407 to 1267 of the family's 1478-position model. The record is from RNAcentral. Lineage: Archaea; Thermoproteati; Thermoproteota.
CUUUUCCUUGGUCUAAAAAGCCUCGGGAAUAAGAGGGGGGCAAGACUGGUGUCAGCCACCGCGGUAACACCAGCCCCUCGAGUGGUGGGGAUGAUUAUUUGGCCUAAAGCGUCCGUAGCCGGCCGGGUAAGUUUCCCGUUAAAUCCAGCGUCUCGAGCGUUGGACUGCGGGAAAUACUGCCCGGCUAGAGAGUGGGAGAGGUGUACGGUAUUCUGGGGGUAGGGGCGAAAUCCUUUGAUCCCCGGAGGACCACCAGUGGCGAAGGCUGUACACUAGAACACGUCUGACGGUCAGGGACGAAAGCUGGGGUAGCGAACCGGAUUAGAUACCCGGGUAGUCCCAGCUGUAAACGAUGCAUGCUAGGUGUUGGGUUGGCCACGAGCCACCCCAGUGCCGCAGGGAAGCCGUUAAGCAUGCCGCCUGGGAAGUACGAUCGCAAGAUUGAAACUUAAAGGAAUUGGCGGGGGAGCACCACCAGGCGUGAAGCCUGCGGUUUAAUUGGAGUCAACGCCGGGAACCUUACCGGAAGCGACAGCAGAGUGAAGGCCAGAUUGAAGAUCUUGCCAGACGAGCUGAGAGGAGGUGCAUGGCCGUCGCCAGUUCGUGCCGUGAGGUGUUCUCUUAAGUGAGAUAACGAACGAGACCCGUGCCACAUGUUGCCACCAGAAUCUAAAGGAUUGCUGAGCACUCUUGUGGGACCGCAGCCGAUAAGGCUGAGGAAGGGGCGGGCAACGGCAGGUCAGUAUGCCCCGAAUCUUCCGGGCCACACGCGGGCUGCAAUGGUAUGGACAGAGGGCUGCCACCCCGAAAGGGGGAGCCAAUCCCUAAACCAUACCUCAGUUGGGAUUGAGGGCUGCAAC